CAUGGAUAACUGUAGUAAUUCUAGAGCUAAUACAUGCAACUAUGCCCUGACCCGCAAGGGAACGGGUGCAUUUAUUAGAACAGAACCAACCGGUGGUGACUUCGGUUGCCGCCGUUGCUCUGUGAUGACUCUGGAUAACUUCACUGAUCGCAGUCGGCCUUGUGUCGGCGACGGAUCUUUCAAAUGUCUGCCCUAUCAAUUUUCGAUGGUAGGUGACCUGCCUACCAUGGUGAUAACGGGUAACGGGGAAUCAGGGUUCGAUUCCGGAGAGGGAGCCUGAGAAACGGCUACCACUUCCAAGGAAGGCAGCAGGCGCGCAAAUUACCCAAUCCCGGAACGGGGAGGUAGUGACGAAAAAUACGGAUACGGGACUCAUUAGAGGCUCCGUAAUUCGAAUGAGUACAAUUUAAAUCCUUUAACGAGGAUCAACUGGAGGGCAAGUCUGGUGCCAGCAGCCGCGGUAACUCCAGCUCCAGAAGCGUAUAUUAAAGUUGUUGCAGUUAAAAAGCUCGUAGUUGGAUCUGGGUCGCAUGGCUACAUGCCGUUGCUUGCUUUCCUGGUCUGGCUCUGCUGGGUCGGGUUGGCGGGUCGGUGCCGUGGUUGUGCAGCCUUUCUGCUGUGUCUGUUUCGACAGGUGUUGGCAUGUUUGGUGGGUUCGUCCUGCUGAUCUGUUGACAUGCUCUCAGAUGCCUUUCAUCGGGUGUCGGGGGCGGACAGCACGUUUACUUUGAACAAAUUUGAGUGCUCAAAGCAGGCCCUUGUGCCUGAAAAUUCUUGCAUGGAAUAAUGGAAUAGGACUUCGGUUCUAUUUUGUUGGUUUUCGGAUC
Molecule: ribosomal RNA, 827 nt
Filed under: Adlardia novaecaledoniae
Lineage: Eukaryota; Metazoa; Platyhelminthes; Trematoda; Opisthorchiida; Cryptogonimidae
Description: SSU rRNA
Rfam family: Eukaryotic small subunit ribosomal RNA
Source: RNAcentral